GGGGUGAACCGUGAGCUUAUGAAUUUGAGCUAUUUUGUAAUAUUCAAUCUUCUGCUUGACAGUAGGCAAAUUUGAGCCUCCUUUUAUAUGCUUAAAUCAAGGCUGGCUUUAGUUUGCUUUCGGUGGGUGACUCUUGGGCUACUGAUUUUGAGCUCCUUUUUCAUGUUCAAUCUUCUGCUUGAAAAAGGUGAAUCUGUGCCUCCUUUUAUACAUAAAUAAAGGUUGGGUUUAUUUUGACAUUCUGUGAAUGUUGUUUGUUUGUGAAAGAUAGGCUUUGGUGAACUUUGGUGAAAGGCCACUUGUGAGCUUCUAAUAUUGAGCUCUUUUCCAAUGUUCAAUCUUCUGCUUGAAAAGGGCGAAUAUGGGCCUCAUUUUAUAUGCUUAAAUCAAGGUCGGCUUUAGUUUUACAUUCGGUGAAUGUUGUUGGCAUGUGAAUAAAGUUUUGUAUAAUUUUAAUACUCGUUUCUCAUGUUGGCAACAGCCUUUAUACCAAUAUAUCUGCUUCCUUUCUUGUGUGUGUGAGUGGCUGUCUGGCGAGGUUUUGGUGGGUGACUCGUGAGCUUCUGAUUUUGAGCUCUUUUGUGAUCUUCAAUCUCCUGCUUGAAAAAGGCGAAUCUGAGCCUCCUUUUAUAUGCUUAAACCAAAGCUGGCUUGAGUUUACUUUGGAUGGGUGACUCGUGAGCUUCUGAUUUUGAGCUCUUUUGUGAUCUUCAAUCUCCUGCUUGAAAAAGGCGAAUCUGAGCCUCCUUUUAUAUGCUUAAAUCGGGGCUGGCUUUAGUUUGCUUUCGGUGGGUGACUCGUGAGCUUCUGAUUUUGAGCUCUUUUGUGAUCUUCAAUCUCCUGCUUGAAAAAGGCGAAUCUGAGCCUCCUUUUAUACAUAAAUAAAGGUUGGGUUUAUUUUGACAUUCUGUAAAUGUUGUUCGUACGUAAAAGGUCGGCUUUGGUGAAAGGCCACUUGUGAGCUUCUAAUAUUGAGCUCUUUUCAAAUGUUCAAUCUUUUGAUUGAACAAGGCGAAUAUGAGGCGCAUUUUAUAUGCUUAAAUCAAGGUCGGCUUUAGUUUUACAUUCGGUGAAUGUUGUUGCCAUGUGAAUAAAGUUUUGCAUAAUUUUAAUACUUGUUUCUCAUGUUGGCAACAGCCCUUAUAGCAAUAUAUCUGCUUUCUUUCUUGUGUAUGAGUGGCUGUCUGGCGAAUUUUUGGUGGGUGACCCGUGAGCUUCUGAUUGUGAGGUCUUUUGGGAUACUCAAUCUUCUGCUUGAAAAAGGCGAAUGGGAGCCUCCUUUUAUAUGCUUAAAUCAAGGUUGGCUUUAGAUUGCUUUGGGGGUGACCCGUGAGCCUUUGAAUUUGAGCUAUUUUGUGAUAUUCAAUCUUCUGCUUGAGAGUAGGCAAAUUUGAGCCUCCUUUUAUAUGCUNNNNNNNNNNNNNNNNNNNNNNNNNNNNNNNNNNNNNNNNNNNNNNNNNNNNNNNNNNNNNNNNNNNNNNNNNNNNNNNNNNNNNNNNNNNNNNNNNNNNUAUCCUUUUAUACGUAAAUAAAGGUUGGGUUUAUUUUUACAUUCUGUGAANNNNNNNNNNNNNNNNNNNNNNNNNNNNNNNNNNNNNNNNNNNNNNNNNNNNNNNNNNNNNNNNNNNNNNNNNNNNNNNNNNNNNNNNNNNNNNNNNNNNNNNNNNNNNNNNNNNNNNNNNNNNNNNNNNNNNNNNNNNNNNNNNNNNGUCGGCUUUAGUUUUACAUUCGGUGAAUGUUGUUGGCAUGUGAAUAAAGUUUUGCAUAAUUUUAAUACUUGUUUCUCAUGUUGGCAGCAGCCCAUAUAUCUGCUUUCUUUCUUGUGUGUGAGUGGCUGUCUGGCGAGGUUUUGGUGGGUGACCCGUGAGCUUCUGAUUGUGAGCUCUUUUGGGAUAUUCAAUCUUCUACUUGAAAAAGCGGAAUGUGAGCCUCUUUUUAUAUGCUUAAAUCAAGGUUGGCUUUAGAUUGCUUUGGGGGGUGAACCGUGAGCUUACGAAUUUGAGCUAUUUUGUGAUAUUCAAUCUUCUACUUGAAAAAGCGGAAUGUGAGCCUCUUUUUAUAUGCUUAAAUCAAGGUUGGCUUUAGAUGGCUUUGGGGGGUGAACCGUGAGCUUACGAAUUUGAGCUAUUUUGUGAUAUUCAAUCUUCUACUUGAAAAAGCGGAAUGUGAGCCUCUUUUUAUAUGCUUAAAUCAAGGUUGGCUUUAGAUGGCUUUGGGGGGUGAACCGUGAGCUUACGAAUUUGAGCUAUUUUGUGAUAUUCAAUCUUCUACUUGAAAAAGCGGAAUGUGAGCCUCUUUUUAUAUGCUUAAAUCAAGGUUGGCUUUAGAUGGCUUUGGGGGGUGAACCGUGAGCUUACGAAUUUGAGCUAUUUUGUGAUAUUCAAUCUUCUACUUGAAAAAGCGGAAUGUGAGCCUCUUUUUAUAUGCUUAAAUCAAGGUUGGCUUUAGAUGGCUUUGGGGGGUGAACCGUGAGCUUACGAAUUUGAGCUAUUUUGUGAUAUUCAAUCUUCUACUUGAAAAAGCGGAAUGUGAGCCUCUUUUUAUAUGCUUAAAUCAAGGUUGGCUUUAGAUUGCUUUGGGUGGUGAACCGUGAGCUUAUGAAUUUGAGCUAUUUUGUGAUAUUCAAUCUUCUGCUUGAGAGUAGGCAAAUUUGAGCCUCCUUUUAUAUGCUUAAAUCAAAGCUGGCUUGAGUUUACUUUGGUGGGUGACCCGUGAGCUUCCGAUUUUGAGCUCUUUUGGGAUAUUCAAUCUUCUGCUUGAAAAAGGCGAAUGUGAGCCUCCUUUUAUAUGCUUAAAUCAAGGCUGGCUUUAGUUUGCUUUCGGUGGGUGGCUCUUGGGCUACUGAUUUUGAGCUCCUUCUUCACUGCUUGAAAAUGCGAAUCUGAGUCUCCUUUUAUAUGCUUAAAUCAAGGUCGGCUUUAGUUUUACAUUCAAUGAAUGUUGUUGGUAUGUGAACAAAGUUUGGCAUAAUUUUGAUUUUUGUUUCUCAUGUUGGCAACAGCCCUUACACCAAUAUAUCUGCUUUCUUUCUUGUGUGUGUGUGUGAGUGGCUGUCUGGCAAACUUUGGCUGCGUGACUCGUGAGCUUCUGAUGUGAGCUCUUUUGUGAUGUUUAUUCUUCUGCUUGAAAUUGCGAAUUUCAGCCUCCUUUUGUAUGCUUAAAUCAAUGUCGGCUUUAGUUUUACAUUCAGUGAGUGUUGUUGGUACGUGAACAAAGUUUGGCAUAAUAUGGAUCCUUGUUUCUCAUGUUGGCAAGAGCCCUUAUACCAAUAUAUUUGCUUUCUUUCUUGUGGUUGUGAGUGGCUAUCUGGCGAAAAUUGGGUGGGUAACUCGUGAGCUUCUGGUUUUUAGCUCUUUUGUGAUGUUCAAUCUUCUGCUUGAAAAAGGCGAAUCGGAGCCUCCUCUUAUAUGCUUAAAUCAAGGGUGACUUGAGUUUACUUUGGUUGGGUGACUCGUGAGCUUUUGAUUUUGAGGUCUUUUGUGAUGUUCAAUCUUCUGCUUGAGAAAGGCGAGUUUGAGCCUCCUUUUAUAUUAAAUCAUGGUCGGCUUAGUUUUACAUUCACCGAAUGUUGUUGGUUAGUGAAUAAAGUUUUGCGUAAUUUUCAUCCUUGCUGUUGUUAGUAUGUUAUCAGUGUUUGACAUAAUUUUGAUCCUUGUUUCUCAUGUUGGCAACAGCCCUUGUAUGAAUAUAUCUGCUUUCUUUCUUGUGUGUCUGAGUGGCGGUCUGGCGAACUUUGGGUGGGUGACGCGUGAGCUUCUGAUUUUGAGCUGUUUUUUGAUGUUGAAUUUUCUGCUUAAAAAAGGCGAAACUUAGCCUCUUUUUUUUGCUUAAAUCUAGGUCGGCUUCAGUUUUACAUUCGGUGAAUGUUGUUGGUAUGUGAACAAAGUUUGGCGUAAUUUUGAUCCUUGUUGUUCCUGAUAUGUGAACAAAGUUUGGCAUAAUUUUGAUCCUUGUUUCUCAUGUUGGCAACUGCCCUUAUACCAAUAUAUCUGCUUUCUUCGAUGUGUAUGUGGCAGCUGACCAUGAUUUUGUACUUUUUUGUGAUGUUCAAUAUUCUUCUUGAAAAAGGCAAAUUUGAGCCUCGUUUUAUAUGCUUAAAUAAAUGUCGUCUUUACUUUUACAUUUGGGGAAUGUUGUUCGUAUCUGAGCAAUGUUUGGCAUAAUUUUGAUCCUUGCUUCUCUUUUUGCCAACAGCCCUUAUAUGAAUAUAUCUGCUUUCUUUCUUAUGUGUGUGAGUGGCUGUCUGGCGAACUUUGGGUGGGUGACUUGUGAGCUUCUGAUUUUGAGCUUGUUUGUGAUGUUCAAUCUUCUGCUUGAAAAAUGCGAAUCUGAGUCUCCUUUUAUAUGCUUAAAUCAAGGUCCGCUUUAGUUUUACAUUCGGCGAAUGUUGUUCGUAUGUGAAUAAAGUUUGGCAUAAUUUUGAUCCUUGUUUCUCUUUUUGCCAACAGCCCUUAUAUGAAUAUAUCUGCUUUCUUUCUUAUGUGUGUGAGUGGCUGUCUGGCGAACUUUGGGUGGGUGACUUGUGAGCUUCUGAUUUUGAGCUUGUUUGUGAUGUUCAAUCUUCUGCUUGAAAAAGGCAAAUUUGAGCCUCGUUUUGUUUGCUUAAAUCAAGGUUAGAUUUAGCUUUACAUUCGGUGAAUGUUGUUGGUAUGUGAACAAAGUUUGGCGUAAUUUCGAUCCUUCUUGUUGUUGGUACAUGAGCAAAGUUUGGCAUAAUUUUGAUCCUUGUUUCUCAAGUUGGCAACUGCCCUUAUACCAAAAAAUCUGCUUUCUUUCUUGUGUGUGGCUGUCCGGCGAACUUGGCGAACUUUGGGUAGGUAACUCGUGAGUUUUUUAUUUUGAGCUCUUUUGUGAUGUUCAAUUUUCUGCUUUAAAAAGGUAAAUCUAAUCCUCCUCUUAUAUGCUUAAAUCAAGGUCGGCUUUAGUAUUACAUUCGGUGAAUGUUGUUGGUAUGCGAACAUAGUUUGGCAUAAUUUUGAUCAGUCUCUCAUGUUGGCCACAGCCCUUGUACUAAUAUAUCUGCUUUUUGUCUUGUGUGUGAGUGGCUGUCUUGCGAACUUUUGGCGGGUGACUCGGGAGCUUCUAAUUUUGAGCUCUUUUGUGAUCCAUUUUUUGCUUAAAAAAGAUGAAUCUUAGCCUCCUUUUAUAUGGUUAAAUCUAGGUUGGCUCUGAGAGGUGGAUGGUUUCGGGGUGAGAUUUUUUAUCAUUAAUUUGAGAAUUAGUUUGCCCUGUGAGGUGGAUGGUUUCGGGGUGAUGGACUAGAUUUGAUUACAGCAGAGAGAGGUCAAAAUGAAAACAGAUCUCUCUAACAGCUGGUAUGCAUAUUUUAGAUCAAAAACGUAGAAAAUGAUACCACUAAUGAUAAAAUUUUUCUUUAAAACUGUGACGAUCUAACUUAAUGCAGCAACGUGGUCAAGUAUAAUUAACUAUAGUUGUUUAGUUUAUGAACUUAAUUAGUAGUUAAUUGGCAAUGUUUGGUAGUCUUUAUGUGCUUAAUUACAUGUUACCAUAGAUAACUCUAGUUAAUUAGUUAUGUUACUAGUGAACUAAUUAACUAAGUUGUUCAGUUUAUGAACUUAAUUAGUAGUUAAUUAAAGUUAAUUGGUAAUGUAGAAUUAACUCUAGUUAAUUAGCAAUGUUUGAUGCUUUAGCUAUUAAUAUAUGAGCUUAAUUACUAGUCAACUAUAGUUAACAAUUUUAGAUAAUCUUCUUAACCGUAAUGACUUAGAUAGUCUACUUAGUUUAUGUAGUUAAUUAAUAUAGAUAACUAUAGUUAUCUAGUAAUUAACCAUAGUUGCUUAGUUUAUGAACUUAGAUACUCUUCUUGAACGUGGAGACUUAGAUUAGUACAAUUAGAAAAUCUAACUCAAUAGAGUAAGUAAGAUAUAUAAUUCUAGUUAAGAAUAGGAGUAUAUUUGCUCAUUUUUAAUUGUUACAUUUUUAAUUAUUAAUAAUUGUUAAGCUCUCAAUUUUUACACGUCAGUAAAUAUGGGUACAAAAAUCUGUUAGAUUGGCCAAAAUAGGCACACAACAAAUCUAUUGUUCAGAGCCGAGACGCAAAUUGGCUUUUUGCGUUCGCCUUCCUCACUUACGCCACAACUAUCACCGUUUCCAAACUCUGCGUUUUGUUCCGAUUUCCUUUUUUUUUUUUUUUUUUUUUUAGAUUGGCAAUAGUAUAAAAGAUUUUAUAUUGCAUGCGGUCAGUAUUGGCUAAAAUCGGAAGGAAGUAUCAAAAUUACUAAGCUUUAGGGUCCAAUUUGGAGAUAAAAAAAAAAAAAAAAUCCCGUGUAAUUGGUUGCUGUUUGGGCUCAUUUUUUAUUAAUUGAUUAUUGAUUAUCUUCUACAGGAAAAUGGAAGAUCAGAAGGUAAUUGUUUGUACGUGUUGACAAAAUUAACUAUUUUGAUAGUCAUUAGUUGUUUUGUGAAAAACUACUCAAAUUGCCAGAUACUCUCAAACGCUUUAAAAUAAGUUACAGCUAUCAAAAUAGUUAACUUCACUAAACAAAUAGCUAAAUUUUUCUGAACAAACAGCUACCAAUUUUAACGAACAACGUUAUAAAAUCUUGUUAGCUAGAAAUAUAUAAUUAUUUUUGUUUGUGCGUCCAACAUUUAAUUUUGGAAAAAUAAUAAUGCUAAUUAAAGUUUCCUUCUUUGAAAGUUCUGAAUUUUUUGCUUAUCUUUCAUAUAAUACAACAUCAUAAAAAAUAUAUAUACACAAUGUUAUGCUGGAAUUUACUUACUGCUGCUGAAGUCCCCAAACAAACAUUUGGCUUUUGUUUUUCAUGCUAAUUUAACUGUUUUAAGGAAGAUUGAGUUGUUAGUGUGUUAGACAUAUGAUGUGAAUAUAAAAAUUCUAUAUUGAUUAAACAUAAAAAUAUAGAGAACUUAUAUGCAUAUAAAUUCUUAAAUUUAAUUUUUGAUAUGUGAUUAUGAAUUCUUUUUAUAAUUUAUUGAAAAUAAAUUAUUUAUAUUGAAAAAAAAAAAUUGGAAAUAGAGCUUAUGUAAGCAGAAGUUGAAUAUAAUGUAUAUGAGCUUAUACCAAUAUAUCUGCUUUCUCCGUUGUGUGUGUGGCUGUCUAUCGAAGUUUGGGUAGGUAACUCGUGAGCUUCUGAUUUUGUACUUUUUGUGAUGUUAAAUCUUCUUCUUGAAAAAGGCAAAUCGGAGCCUCGUUUUAUAUGCUUAAAUAAAUGUCGUCUUUACUUUUACAUUUGGUGAAUGUUGUUCGUAUCUGAACAAUGUUUGGCAUAAUUUUGAUCCUUGUUUAUCAUGGUGGCAACAGCCCUUAUACCAAUAUAUCUGCUUUCUUUCUUGUUUGUGUAAGUGGUUGUCUGGAGAACUUUGGGUGGGUGACUCGUGAGCUUCUGAUUUUGAGGUUUUUUCUGAUGUUCAGUCUUCUGCUUGAUAAAGGCGAAUCUGAGCCUCCUUUUUAUAUGCUUAAAUCAUGCUUGGCUUUAGAUUUACAUUCGUUGAAUGUUGUUGGUAUGAGAACAAAGUUGGGCACAAUUUCGAUCCUUGUUUCACAUGAUGGCAACAGCCCGUGUACCAAUAUAUCUUUUUUCUUUCUUGUGUGUGUGAGUGGCUGUCUGGCGAACUUUGGUGGGUGACUCGUGAGCUUCUGAUUUUGAGCCCUUUUGUGAUGUUCAAUUUUAUGCUUGAAAAGGCAAAUCUGAGCCUGCUUUUAUAUGCUUAAAUCAAGGUUGGGUUUAGUUUACUUUGGUUGGGUGACUCCUGUGUUUCUGAUUUUGAGCUCUUCUGUGAUGUUCAAUCUUCUGCUUGAAAAAUGCGAAUCUGAGUCUCCUUUUAUAUGCUUAAAUCAAGGUCGGUUUUAGUAUUACAUUCGGUGAAUGUUGUUGGUAUGCGAACAAAGUUUGGCAUAAUUUUGAUCCUUGUUUCUCUUGUUGCCAACAGCCCUUGUAACUCGUGAGCUUUUGAUUUUGAGCUCUUUUGUGAUAUUCAAUUUUCUGCUUUAAAAAGGUGAAUCUAAUCCUCCUCUUAUAUGCUUAAAUCAAGGUCGGUUUUAGUAUUACAUUCGGUGAAUGUUGUUGGUAUGCGAACAAAGUUUGGCAUAAUUUUGAUCAGUCUCUCACGUUGGCCACAGCCCUUGUACUAAUAUAUCUGCUUUUUUUCUCAUGUGUGAGUGGCUGUCUUGCGAACUUUUGGUGGGUUACUUGUGAGCUUCUAAUUUUGAGCUCUUUUGUGAUCCAUUUUUCGCUUAAAAAAGAUGAAUCUUAGCCUCCUUUUAUAUGGUUAAAAUGAAAACUGGUAUGCAUAUUUUAGAUCAAAAACAUAGAAAAUGAUACCACUAAUGAUAAAAUUUUUCUUUAAAACUGUGACGAUCUAACUUAAUGCAACAACGUGGUCAAGUAUAAUUAACUAUAGUUGUUUAGUUUAUAAACUUAAUUAGUAGUUAAUUGGCAAUGUUAGGUAGUCUUUAUGUACGUAAUUAAAUGUUUCCAAAGGUAACUCUAGUUAAUUAGUUAUCUUACUAGUCAACUAAUUAACUAAGUUGUUUAGUUUAUGAACUUAAUUAGUAGUUAAUUAAAGUUAAUUGGUAAUGUACUAUUAACUCUAGUUAAUCAGCAAUGUUAGAUGCUUAGCUAUUAAUAUAUGAGCUUAAUUACUUGUCAGCUAUAGUUAUUAAAAUUCUUGCUAAAUUAUCAAAAUAUCUUCAACUUUAUAAGUUUUUACAAUUUUAUCAUAUAUUGAUCCAUUUUGUCAAUUUUAUUCUAAUUUUGUCAUCUUAUAUCAAUAACACCCUCAAUUAUAAUUAAGAAAGGAAUUGCAAAUAAAAAGAAUAUUUACAUACCUUUUUAAAUCAUCAUCCGAAUUUGAUAAAAAAAUCAGAUUAAAAUUUUUUACAUGACACCCUAAAAAAAUAAUCGCUGCGUCAGUAGGUGGUCGCAUUAAUUAGGCGUCCCCUUCUCCUAUAAAUAGGAGAAGUUCGCAGCUCACAAUACACACUAGCAAGAAGAAUGAACACAAAAGAGAGAAAAAUAUGUGUUUUGAGAGGGAGAGAGUUGUCUAGUUUUAGAAAGGGUCCUAAGAUAGGGAAAAAUAAUGAGGAUAAUUUUUGAGUCCUAUUAUUUUUGUAUUACUCUCUUUGUAAGCCUAAUAUUUUUAAUAGUGGAAGAAAUAUUCGGACUUGGUCCCGUGGAUGUAACCCUAAAUAGUUAAGGGUGAACCACGUAAAUUAUGUGUGUCGCAAUUUUAUUUUUCAGCUGCCGUAAUUAUUCUCGUAGUUUAUUGUCGGGACCCUAACAAAAAGAUCGUCGAUUAAUUUAGCAUUGGAGUGUUGGGUUUGAGUCUAACAAAUUUAGCAUUAUUCUUUACUAUGGUUACUAUGUCAUGAUCCACCAAAGUAAGAAAUAUAACAAAGGUAUUACACUUUCUAGUUUUGAAUUAUACUUGAUUAAAUUUUCUCUGUUUUCAAAAUUUUGAGUUUUCUCAAAUCUUGCAUGGCGAAACUUCUAUGAUGUUGUCUUGGACUGUCCUUACUGGUGCUGAAUUGUUUAGACAAGUGUCAAUUAUGUUAGGCCUUUGUUCUUUGCCUGCUCCAACAUUUAUUUGACUAUCAUGAGGCAGCAUUGACUUGUCUGGCCCUUUUUAACAGAAGCAUCCAAAUUUCAUAUUGAUAUGUAUUAAUUUUACAACUCUUGCAACCUACAGAUUUUGUUGGACAUCUGCUAUCAUGAUCUGCAAAUUACGAUAUUUAUAAGUUAAAAUCAUCUGGUUUCAAAAUAUGGCCUUAUGUUUAUGUGGCAGAACAAUUUAUGCGGGAAAUGCGCUUUGUACUGUUCGGUAUACUGGCGCCAAUCCUUGUAUGUUGACCAUUAGAUCGACCUCUUUUCAAGUACCAGCUGUCUCAGCUGAUUUAAAAUCCAAUGAAGCCCCAAUUUCCCAGAUUGAUCUCUCAACCUUUGGUGAAGGUCUGUUUACCUUUAUCUAAUAAUUUUGUUGGCUAGCACCUGCUUCGUGAUAAGGCUCAUGACCCUCUUCAUAGUUCUUGCAAAUAUUUUCCAUGCUAAUUGAUUAUUUUUGUGGGUAAAAUUACAUAUUUGUUUUAUAUGGAAGAGAAAGGAUUUGUCUUAUGGUUUUUCACAAUUCUGUUGUAGAUUCUAUUGGUAAGUCUAGGUAUCUGCAGCAUACCUCUCAGGAUACAGAGCGCCCUGACCUCGGAAGUGCAAGAAUUGUGGUGACAGGGGGCCGGGCGUUGAAAAGUGCAGAGAACUUCAAAAUGAUUGAGAAGCUUGCAGAAAAGCUCGGUGCAGCUGGUACUGCGUUUUCCAUUUGUUAAAUUAUUGGGGAUUUCGCUCGCACACUGCAGAGAAAGCGAGAGUCUGUUCGAGCUCUCAAAUCUGAACAAAUUAGCACACAACAAAUCUAUUGUUGAGAGCCGAGACGCAAAUUGGCUUUUCGCGUUCGCCAUCCUCACUCACGCCACAACUAUCUCCGUUUCCAAACUCUGCGUUUUGUUCCGAAUUUUCUUUUUUAGAUUGGCGAUAGUAUAAAAGAGUUUAUUGCAUGCGGUCAGUAUAGGCUAAAAUCGGAAGGAAGUAUCAAAAUUACUAAGCUCUAGGGUCCAAUUUGGAGAUAAAAAAAAAAGCCACGUGUAAUUGGUUGCUGUUUGGACUUAUUUUUUAUUAAUUGGUUAUUGAUUAUCUUCUACACAAAAAUGGAAGAUUAGAAGGUAAUCGAUUGUACUUUUUGAUAAAAUUAACUAUUUUAAUAGUUAUUAGUUAUUUUGUGAAAAACUAUUCAAAUUGCCAGACACUGCCAAACGCUCUAAAAUAAAUAACAGAUGUCAAAAUAGUUAAAUUUAUUGAACAAAUAGCUAAAUUUUUCUGAAGAAAUAGCUAUCAACUUUAACGAACAAUGUUAUAAAAUCUUGUUAGCAUAGAAAUAUAUAAUUAUCUUUGUUUGUGCGUCAAACAUUUAAUUAUUUUGGAAAAAUAAUAAUGCUAAUUAAAGUUUCCUUCUUUGAAAGUUCUGAAUUUUUUGCUUAUCUUUCAUAUAAUACAACAUUAUAAAAAAUAUAUAUACACAAUGUUAUGCUGGAAUUUACUUACUGCUGCUGAAGUGCCCAAACAAACAUUUGGCCUUUGUUUUUCAUACUAAUUUUACUGUUUUAAGGAAGAUUGAAUUGUUAUUGUGUUAGACAUAUGAUGUGAAUAUAAAAAUUCUAUAUUGAUUAAACAUAAAAAUAUAUAGAACUUAUAUGCAUAUAAAUUCUCAUCUUUAAUUUUUGAUAUGUGAUUAUGAAUUAUUUUUAUAAUUUAUUGGAAAUAAAUUAUUUAUAUUGAAAAAAAAAAUGGAAAUAGAGCUUAUGUAACCAGUAGUUGAAUAUAAUUUAUAUGAGUUGUCAGUGCUAAUUAAAAUUCUUACUAAAUAAUAUAUCAAAAUAUCUUAAACUUUAUAAGUUUUUACAAUUUCAUCUUAUAUUGAUCUAUUUUGUCAAUUUUAUCAUAAUUUUGUCAUUUCGUAUCAAUAACACCCUCAAUUAUAAUUAAGAAAGGAAUUGCAAAUAAAAAGAAUAUUCACAUGACUUUUUAAAUCAUCAUCCGAAUUUGAUAGAAAAAACCAGAUUAAAUUUUUUUACAUAACACCCUAAAAAAAAAUUUCACAUUAAAUUUUAAUUUUUAAAAUAAAUGUGCUAAGAUCAUUUUUUAUAAUGUAUUUUUAUGUAUAAUAAUGUAAAUGUUUCAAAUAGAUUUAUGAUAUAAAUUUUCAUUUUUAUUUGUUGGAAAAUAAUAUUUUAAUCCUAGAUUUUAAUAUCACUUUUAAAUAUUUAUCUUUAUUUAUAAUCAUGUAAAUAUUUCAUAAAUAUUUGUGAUAUAAUAAUUUCAUUUUUUCAAUGCAUACAAUUUUAAAAAUGGAGAAAAAGAAAAGAACAAUUAUAUAUAACCUGAAUGUAUAUAUAUAUAGAUUUACAGCUGAACAAAUAAGUGUUGCGCCUUUGUUUAAUUAGUCCAAUUAGAGAAGUGGACCUUUAUUAUUUGUUUGAGUCCAUUUACUUGUGCCACGUUAUACACUAACCUUGGGAACCCAAACUCCAUCUUUUGUUUUCUCAUUUUCUUAGAAACCUUUGAGCGCCGCAUCCAUGAAUAUCUGGUUCACCAUUUCCACAAUACUCUCCCUCUCUGAUCCGAACAAGAUUUGAACUUGGGAUCUACUAGAAGAAAUUGCAACUGUUAGGGUGUCCUUGGACAAUAUAUUGCAAUUCUUUGCUCUAUCUGUUUAUAUAUUUCAAAUUUUUAUUCAAGUAAAUUGUUGUACACAUCCAUGGCUCAAUUAGCCUUCUAAAGCUAUUUUCUUUUAGUUUUCCCCCUUUUUCCGGUCCACCUUCAAACAAAUGAUUUGUUUUCAUUGUAUAUGAUGCCCGGUUUCUUUUGUUUUUCCACCGAUAUAAGCUUCAACUUAAUUGGCUCUCCUUGAAAGAUGCCAUUAAAGAAAAGUUUACUGUCCUUGACAAUGUUCAGUGGUUUGAGAUUCUUGAAGGCAAGCAAGAGAAUUCUAUGCCUGCUAUUGAGUUGAUGGGGCUCAGAAGAUUGGCAAGAGAGAGGCAAGAAUGCUGUCAAUGAGCCAAUGGAAGAGGCUGCAAUUUGCAAGACUACUGGCCAUUGACCGACCAAUUUGGUUUCUGGAUGAGCCUUCUGUUGCAUUAGAUGAUGAAGGGGUAAAAUUGCUCAAAACAUUAUUCCAGUUGCAACGCAAUUGCCAACUGAGACUGCCUCUGAGGUUCCCUAGAAUGAUGACUUUAGAAGAUAUGCUUGAUCGAGUCGAGAUCUCAUAAAAUUCCAUCACUGCAGGUUAGGCUAAUUAACUUGCUCUCCCCAAGUUACCGUGUGUAUGUUUUUUUUUUUUUUUUUUAUUGUCCUAUGCUUUUAAUGUGAGUGACAGUAGGAGAAGUGAAUUUUACGCGUAUGAUUUUAUUUACCAAAUUACCUUUAAUUUAGUGCUCUCCCCAAGUUACCGUUAUGCUCCACCGCCCAACGAAGGGUAUCGCGGAAUAAAAGGAAAAUAAGAAGUUACCAUAAAAUGCAAGAUGCGUACAAAUCAAGCACUCUUGAGAAUGAGGCUUUGCUCUCAGAGAGGCGGCAAAGAAGGCGGUUGCUCUGCCUCUCUGAACGACUGCGGAGCCGAUGAUUUCUCCGUCAUUUGUGUAAUAGCCGCCGUUUGUCUGUGUGCAUUAUCAUCAUCAUUCUCUUCUUUUUCGGGCUUUCUUUCUUUCUUUGUUACAAAGAGGCUGGGGGGGUUUUUGUUUUGUUUUUUUUUUUUUUGGACAAAAAAUUUGCAAUUGCUUUUGCAUGAAAUAUGCUGUGUGAAUGGUUUAAGUACCAGGCUUUGCUCUCAGUGAGAGGCGGUUGUUUAAGGGUCGUUGACCCAGUGCUCUCUGAUAGCUAGCGGAGCCGGUGACUACUAAUUACGUUUUUUAUGUUGGCAACAACCCUUAUACCAAUAUAUCUGCUUUGUUUCUUGUGUGUGUCAGUGGCUGUCUGGCGACUGGCGAGGCUAUGAUGAUAUAUUCUUUGAGCCUGAAAAGUUGGACUCGACGUGAAAUACUCAAUUUCUUGGCAAGGCAACCUUUUGUUGUUGCAGCGCAGAUGUUGUGGUGUUUCUGUCCUGUCCAAUUUGAAGGCAUAUCUGAUCUGAGCCUUCUCUUUCUCCAGAUUUCUCUAUUUCUGAUUGGGCCUCCAUCCUCUACAGUCUCUCACUCUUCAUUUUCUUAGAUUUUUGUUCUGUUAAUUUUUUUCUAAAAUGAAAAAUUGGCAAUUGCUUUUGCAUGAAAUAUGUUUACCUUGAGAUUUCUGUGUUAAUGGUUUUAAGUACGAGGCUUUGCUCUCAGUGAGAGGCGGUGGUUUAAGGGUGGUUGCCCCAGUGCUCUCUGAUAGCUAGCGGAGCCGGUGACUACUAAUUGCGUUUUUUAUGUUGGCAACAACCCUUAUACCAAUAUAUCUGCUUUGUUUCUUGUGUGUGUGAGUGGCUGUCUGGCAGACUGUCGAGGCUUUGAUGAUAUGUUCUUUGAGCCUGAAACGUUGGACUCGAGGAGAAAUACUCAAUUUCUUGGCAAGGCAACCUUUUGUUGUUGCAGAGCCGAUGUUGUGGUGUUUUUGUCCUGUCCAAUUUGAAGGCAUAUCUGAUCUGAGCCUUCUCUUUCUCCAGAUUUCUCUAUUUCUGUUUGGGCCUCCAUCGUCUACAAUCUCUCACUCUUCAUUUUCUUCGAUUUUUGUUCUGUUAUUUUUUUUCUAAAAUGAAAAAUUGGCAAUUGCUUUUGCAUGAAAUAUGUUUACCUUNNNNNNNNNNNNNNNNNNNNNNNNNNNNNNNNNNNNNNNNNNNNNNNNNNNNNNNNNNNNNNNNNNNNNNNNNNNNNNNNNNNNNNNNNNNNNNNNNNNNNNNNNCUAAUUACGUUUUUUAUGUUGGCAACAACCCUUAUACCAAUAUAUCUGCUUUCUUUCUUGUGUGUGUCAGUGGCUGUCUGGCGACUGGCGAGGCUAUGAUGAUAUAUUCUUUGAGCCUGAAAAGUUGGACUCGAGGAGAAAUACUCAAUUUCUUGGCAAGGCAACCUUUUGUUGUUGCAAGCCGAUGUUGUGGUGUUUCUGUCCUGUCCAAUUUGAAGGCAUAUAUGAUCUGAGCCUUCUUCUUUCUCCAGAUUUCUCUAUUUCUGUUUGGGCCUCCAUCCUCUACAAUCUUUCACUGUUCAUUUUCUUCAAUUUUUGUUCUGUUAUCUUUUUUCUAAAAUGAAAAAUUGUAUGUUUACCUUAAGAUUUCUGUGUGAAUGGUUUAAGUACGAGGCUUUGCUCUCAGUGAGAGGCGGUUGUUUCAGGGGGGUGACCCAGUGCUCUCUGAUAGCUAGCGGAGCCGGUGACUACUGAUUAUGUUUCUUAUGUUGGCGAACUUUGGUUGGGUGACUCGUGACCUUCUGAUUUUUAGCUCUUUUGUGAUGUUCAAUCUUCUGCUUGAAAAAGGCAAAUCGGAGCCUCCUUUUAUAUGCUUAAAUCAAAGCUGGCUUGAGUUUACUUUGGUGGGUGACCCGUGAGCUUCCGAUUUUGAGCUCUUUUGGGAUAUUCAAUCUUCUGCUUGACAAUAGGCGAAUGUGAGCCUCGUUUUAUAUGCUUAAAUCACGGUUGGCUUUAGAUUGCUUUGGGGGGGGAACCGUGAGCUUCUGAAUUUGAGCUAUUUUGUCAUAUUCAAUCUUCUGCUUGACAAUAGGCGAAUUUGAGCCUCGUUUUAUAUGCUUAAAUCAAGGCUGGCUUUAGUUUGCGUUCGGUGGGUGACUCGUGGGCUACUGAUUUUGGGCUCCUUUUUCAUGUUCAAUCUUCUGCUUGAAAAAGGUGAAUCUGAGCCUUCUUUUAUACAUAAAUAAAGGUUGGGUUUAUUUUUACAUUCUGUGAAUGUUGUUUAUAUGUGAAAGGUCGGCUUUGGUGAAAGGCCACUUGUGAGCUUCUAAUCUUGAGCUCUUUUCCAAUGUUCAAUCUUCUGCUUGAAAGAGGUGAAUCUGAGCCUCCUUUUAUAUGCUUAAAUCAAGGUCGGGUUUAGUUUUACAUUCGGUGAAUGUUGUUGGCAUGUGAAUAAAGUUUUGCAUAAUUUUAACACUUGUUUGUCAUGGUGGCAGUAUACCAAUAUAUCUGCUUUCUCUCUUGUGUACGAGUGGCUGUCUGGCGAGGUUUUGGUGGGUGACCCGUGAGCUUCUAAUUGUGAGCUCUUUUGGGAUAUUCAAUCUUCUGCUUGAAAAAGGCGAAUGUGAGCCUCCUUUUAUAUGCUUAAAUCGAGGUUGGCUUUAGAUUGCUUUGGGGGUGAACCGUGAGCUUCUGAAUUUGAGCUAUUUUGUGAUAUUCAAUCUUCUGCUUGAAAAAGGCGAAUGUGAGCCUCCUUUUAUAUGCUGCUGCUUAAAUCAACGUUUGCCUUAGUUUGCUUUCGGUGGGUGACUCAUGAGCUACUGAUUUUGAGCUCCUUUUUCAGGUUCAAUCUUUUGCUUGAAAAAGGUGAAUCUGAGCCUCCUUAUAAU
This 16003-nucleotide long non-coding RNA is filed under the name Jatropha curcas. RNAcentral's name for it is "long non-coding RNA (JCUR_LNC001119)". The record is from RNAcentral. Lineage: Eukaryota; Viridiplantae; Streptophyta; Magnoliopsida; Malpighiales; Euphorbiaceae.